Molecule: transfer RNA, 84 nt
Filed under: Dermacentor andersoni
Lineage: Eukaryota; Metazoa; Arthropoda; Arachnida; Ixodida; Ixodidae
Description: transfer RNA leucine (anticodon UAA)
Rfam family: tRNA
About the family: Transfer RNA (tRNA) molecules are approximately 80 nucleotides in length.
Source: RNAcentral
GUCAGGAUGGCCGAGUGGUCUAAGGCGCCAGAUUUAAGCUCUGGUCCUCGUACGAGGGCGUGGGUUCGAACCCCACUUCUGACA